UUCAUUUAUUUAAUAAUUGCAAAAAUUUAAUAAACUUAAAAUCAUAUACAUAAAUAUAGGUCAUAAAAAUAUUUUAUCCCAUUAUUGAAGAAAAAAACAACAAGAAAUUGUAAUAACAAAAAUCAACAUUAUUAUAAUAAAAAAAAAAAACUCUAUAAAAUAUUUUCUAAAACUUAAUAAACAAAAAAUCAAUUAAAAAUUAUGGUAAAAAUAAAAUAACCCAUAUAUGUAUAUGUGUGCAUAUAACAAAUGAAAAUUAAUCAUUAAAAUAUAAAAAUAAAUAACGAAUAAAAAAAAAAUUAUAGCAAAAAUUAUUGCAAUAUUUAUGAACUUUUACUUAUAUAAUAAAAAUCACCAAAUUAAAGGUUAUUUGGUUUAAAAACCAAAAUUUUGGUCAAAUAAAAUUUUCAUCACAGAAAUAAAUUAUAUACUUGUAAACACAUAAAAAGGAUUUUCAAGAUUGCAAUUUUCGACUCUGUUUCUUUCAAAGGAUUUUAAGGUAGACAGAAUUUUUUUAGUUAAAUGGUACACAAUAUACAGUCUGACCGGUAUAAGCAACACGCAUAAAAGCAAAACUUCUUUAUUAGCAAAACAAAAUUGGUUUCGUAUAUAAGCAAUAAAAAUUUUGAAAUUUUCGAAAUGUUUCUAAGCGGGUCCGACUGUAUAAUUCAACAAAACUUGAGAUUUAUAUUUAAGGUAAUAUUUUUUUUGAUUAUUGUGUAUGAUUAAUUUCUUAAAAUGUUUCGACAAUGUUUCUUAUAAAAUAUUACAAAUAACCCAAAUACGAUGUUCCAAUG
This is a long non-coding RNA of Condylostylus longicornis, 797 nucleotides long. RefSeq lists it as uncharacterized. NCBI's taxonomy places the organism in Eukaryota, Metazoa, Arthropoda, Insecta, Diptera, Dolichopodidae. The transcript is spliced from 3 exons. The record is from RefSeq and is a predicted model, not a curated record.